GACGAACGUUGGCGGUGCGCUUAAUGCAUGCAAGUCGAACGAGAACUGGUUCAUUCGUAAGAAUGUUCCAGGGACAGUGGCGAACGGGUGCGUAACACGUGAGAAACCUGCCCUGGAGAUCGGGAUAGCCCGAGGAAACUCGGAUUAAUACCGAAUGCCUUCACCGAGUCGCAUGGCUCUAUGAAGAAAUGGUCCGCCGCUCCAGGAUGGUCUCGCGGCCUAUCAGCUUGUUGGUGAGGUAACGGCUCACCAAGGCAACGACGGGUAGCUGGUCUGAGAGGACGAUCAGCCACACUGGGACUGAGACACGGCCCAGACUCCUACGGGAGGCAGCAGUAGGGAAUCUUGCGCAAUGGGGGAAACCCUGACGCAGCGACGCCGCGUGCGGGAUGAAGGCCCUAGGGUUGUAAACCGCUUUCAGCAGGGACGAAAUUGACGGUACCUGCAGAAGAAGGCCCGGCCAACUACGUG
This 471-nucleotide ribosomal RNA is filed under the name uncultured bacterium. RNAcentral's name for it is "bacterial SSU rRNA". It matches the Rfam family "Bacterial small subunit ribosomal RNA", at positions 28 to 507 of the family's 1533-position model. The record is from RNAcentral.